This 468-nucleotide ribosomal RNA is filed under the name uncultured bacterium. Its description in RNAcentral is "partial 16S ribosomal RNA". It matches the Rfam family "Bacterial small subunit ribosomal RNA", at positions 28 to 507 of the family's 1533-position model. The record is from RNAcentral.
GACGAACGCUGGCGGCGUGCUUAACACAUGCAAGUCGAACGGAAAGGCCCUGCUUUUGUGGGGUGCUCGAGUGGCGAACGGGUGAGUAACACGUGAGUAACCUGCCCUUGACUUUGGGAUAACUUCAGGAAACUGGGGCUAAUACCGGAUAGGAGCUCCUGCUGCAUGGUGGGGGUUGGAAAGUUUCGGCGGUUGGGGAUGGACUCGCGGCUUAUCAGCUUGUUGGUGGGGUAGUGGCUUACCAAGGCUUUGACGGGUAGCCGGCCUGAGAGGGUGACCGGCCACAUUGGGACUGCGCUACGGCCCAGACUCCUACGGGAGGCAGCGGUGGGGAAUAUUGCACAAUGGGCGGAAGCCUGAUGCAGCAACGCCGCGUGCGGGAUGACGGCCUUCGGGUUGUAAACCGCUUUCGCCUGUGACGAAGCGUGAGUGACGGUAAUGGGUAAAGAAGCACCGGCUAACUACGUG